Molecule: ribosomal RNA, 248 nt
Filed under: uncultured marine eukaryote
Lineage: Eukaryota
Description: partial 18S ribosomal RNA
Rfam family: Eukaryotic small subunit ribosomal RNA
Source: RNAcentral
AACCUGGUUGAUCCUGCCAGUAGUCAUAUGCUUGUCUCAAAGAUUAAGCCAUGCAUGUCUAAGUGUAAAUAAGUCUAUACUGUGAAACUGCGAAUGGCUCAUUAAAUCAGUUAUCGUUUAUUUGAUGAUCUCUUAUUACUUGGAUAACCGUAGUAAUUCUAGAGCUAAUACAUGCACACAAUCCCGACUUCUGGAAGGGAUGUAUUUAUUAGAUACAAAACCAAUGCGCUUCGGCGGUGAUUGGUGAU